GCGACAACGCCAUCUUUUCUUCGAGCGACCGAGACGAAGCCUCAGAAGACCUUCAAGGAUCCAGUUGACCUCUGAAUCAGCUGUUAAGAAAAUGGGACAGUUGAUUCCACCAUCAUUACAAGGCUGCAAGGGAUCUGGAAAAAUGUCAUCCUGUCAAGCUGAAAAACAUCUUCAAAAAGGCACUAACAAGAACAGCUUGAUUGCAGAGAAGAGACCACACAGCCAUACACGCUCACUGAUGGGACGAUGAGGAACAUCAUUCAUGGAUGCUACACAACUCAAAUCUACACGUCAUAUUUGUUCAUGUCUAGGUAAAUUUGAUGAUUUUGUGUUUUAUUAACUACUUUGUUUCUGUGCAACACUUAAUGAAUGUGACUGACUAAUUAACCUCUACACAUCUGGUAUAUGCUUUAAAGUUGCCACUUUGCCCAUUUGUUCAAUAAAUGUUGAAAUGUA
Molecule: long non-coding RNA, 456 nt
Organism: Cyprinus carpio carpio
Lineage: Eukaryota; Metazoa; Chordata; Actinopteri; Cypriniformes; Cyprinidae
Source: Ensembl